Molecule: small RNA, 489 nt
Filed under: uncultured Microcystis sp.
Lineage: Bacteria; Bacillati; Cyanobacteriota; Cyanophyceae; Chroococcales; Microcystaceae
Description: bacterial LSU rRNA
Rfam family: Bacterial small subunit ribosomal RNA (bases 1-100)
Source: RNAcentral
CUCAACCGCAAGGAGGGGGAUGCCUAAGGCAGGGCUAGUGACUGGGGUGAAGUCGUAACAAGGUAGCCGUACCGGAAGGUGUGGCUGGAUCACCUCCUUAAAGGGAGACCUAAUUCAGGUAGGAGACGAAAAAAAAGUAGUCCCUACCAAGAAUCAAUCCCAAAAGGUCGGAGCGAGGCAAAAUUGGCUUUCAAACUAGGUUCUGGGUUCACACAAGACCUGAAUCAGGAACAAGGGCUAUUAGCUCAGGUGGUUAGAGCGCACCCCUGAUAAGGGUGAGGUCCCUGGUUCGAGUCCAGGAUGGCCCACCUGUACAGGUGGCAAAAAGAAAGAAAAGAAGCGAGGAAUCAGCACCUGAUCUUACUUAUAUAGUAAGAGAGAAUGCUGGCUCUGAGUUCAGAGUCCAGAGGAACCUUGAAAACUGCAUAGAGCUAGGUGAAAAAGCCAAAAAAGAAGACCGCAAGGUCAAGCUAAUAAGGGCUAACGGUG